Molecule: ribosomal RNA, 468 nt
Filed under: uncultured bacterium
Lineage: Bacteria
Description: partial 16S ribosomal RNA
Rfam family: Bacterial small subunit ribosomal RNA
Source: RNAcentral
GAUGAACGCUGACAGAAUGCUUAACACAUGCAAGUCUACUUGAAUUUGGGUUUUUUAACUUAGAUUUGGGUGGCGGACGGGUGAGUAACGCGUAAAGAACUUGCCUCACAGCUAGGGACAACAUUUGGAAACGAAUGCUAAUACCUGAUAUUAUGAUUAUAAGGCAUCUUAGAAUUAUGAAAGCUAUAUGCGCUGUGAGAGAGCUUUGCGUCCCAUUAGCUAGUUGGAGAGGUAACGGCUCACCAAGGCGAUGAUGGGUAGCCGGCCUGAGAGGGUGAACGGCCACAAGGGGACUGAGACACGGCCCUUACUCCUACGGGAGGCAGCAGUGGGUAAUAUUGGACAAUGGACCAAGAGUCUGAUCCAGCAAUUCUGUGUGCACGAUGACGUUUUUCGGAAUGUAAAGUGCUUUCAGUUGGGAAGAAAAAAAUGACGGUACCAACAGAAGAAGUGACGGCUAAAUACGUG